AUCUUCGUGGCGGAAAGGCAGACGCAGGCGUCUCAGACACGUCUCAUUCCCGGUUCGAAUCCGGGCGGGGAUACCA
RNAcentral lists this transfer RNA (76 nucleotides) under Ruminococcaceae bacterium R-25. RNAcentral's name for it is "tRNA-Leu". It matches the Rfam family "tRNA". From Rfam's summary of the family: Transfer RNA (tRNA) molecules are approximately 80 nucleotides in length. The record is from RNAcentral. Lineage: Bacteria; Bacillati; Bacillota; Clostridia; Eubacteriales; Oscillospiraceae.